GGGCUGUUAGCUCAGCUGGUCAGAGCGUGCGGUUCACAUCCGCAAGGUCGCUGGUUCGAGCCCAGCACAGCCCA
This 74-nucleotide transfer RNA is filed under the name Chloroflexota bacterium. Its description in RNAcentral is "Chloroflexi bacterium tRNA-Val". It matches the Rfam family "tRNA". Rfam says of the family: Transfer RNA (tRNA) molecules are approximately 80 nucleotides in length. Their secondary structure includes four short double-helical elements and three loops (D, anti-codon, and T loops). The record is from RNAcentral. Lineage: Bacteria; Bacillati; Chloroflexota.